RNAcentral lists this ribosomal RNA (1629 nucleotides) under Triticum aestivum (bread wheat). RNAcentral describes it as "partial small subunit ribosomal RNA". Lineage: Eukaryota; Viridiplantae; Streptophyta; Magnoliopsida; Poales; Poaceae. The record is from RNAcentral.
AUGAAGAGCUGGGACGCCGGUCCUUCCUCCUCCGGCAGCUCGCCGGAGAAGCAGGCACGCCCCUCCAAGCAGGGGCGUGAUGAAGACGGCGACGAGCUCGCCGUCGAGGAUCGCCGCCCCCACCUCAACACUCGAGUCAAGAGACCGCGGCUCUCCAUCGAAUCGGAAGACGAGCAAGAUUCUUCCUCCGGGAGCUCGCCGGAGAAGCAGGCACGCCCCUCCAAACAGGGGCGUGAUGAAGACGGCGACGAGCUCGCCGUCGAGGAUUGCCGCCCCCACCUGCGGGAGCGGCUCUCCUUGGACACGGAGGGAGACCAAGGUACGGAGCUGUCCCCAAGCCUACCCCUGCUGGAGGAGAUGCCCCAGGACGUGAUUGUGAGCGUUCUGAGGACCAUCGGGGUCCGAAGCGGGGUUCAGGUCAGCUCCUCUUGUUCGUAUCUGCGAGAGUUCGUGAUGAAGAAUGCAGCCCCAUGCUGCGGAAGGUAUCUGCAGAUCAAAGCUUGUAGAAUCGAAGGAGACGCAACCAUAGCUACACUGAGCACGGAUUUGCUAUGCAAAGUCAUGUCCAAGCUUGACCCUUUUGCAAUGUCAGCCCUGGGAGGAUCCUGUUCGGCUUUCAGGUGUUUGCUCGCCUCACCACCCACGCGUGGUUUGAUUGAAGAUUUUGGAGAGAAGCGCAUUCCCCUUGGUGCUCUGACGGUAACUCCAAUCAGCCCAUAUCCUGUUCUACUUUCUUCAAUGCUCCCCGCUAGGCAGAGGCCUGCAAGCGAUCUGUUCGCUGCCUUUUGGCGUAGAUUCGCAGCAGAAAGGGUGAUAGGGAGAGUAGAGAUAUCAGACUGUAGAGAUGGCUUGAUUCUGCUCAAGGGGAGAGCCAUCAGGCGUUUUGUUGUGUGUGCUCCACUGGCGGCCAACAUGUACGCGAGGCUACUGCCACAGCUCUCCAAUGACGGUGAUCAUGUUUACAUGUCUGCUUCAGUUCUUCGAGAUAAGAAGGCUGCCAUAGAGUUCUCGGUUACUGUUCUUAUGGGUGAUCUCCAGAGCGCCAACGUGACAAUUAACCAGUACCAAUCAAAGACAGGCCAAUGGAGUUCCAGGCGCUGCCCGUGGCUAACUCCUGCAACAUUGCAGUCGGAGAUUAAGCAACCGUCUGUUCUGUGCAAAAACACUAUAUGGUUCCUGCAGCCGAUGCUGCAACUGAUCUCUGUCGACCCAGACAAGUUAACAGUUGGCACGCUGCCCUUUCCGCCCCUUGACGGCAUUUCAACUGUCAACCAUGCUCUCCUGGAGCGAUCUCAGGGAUCAAUUUGCCUAGUGAUGAUCACAGAUAACAGAGUAAUGGUCUUCGAGCUGACACUGAUGGCGACGCAUGGAGCUUAUUCAAGCAGUUUCACGGUCCUCCUGAUGGAUGCCGGCUUAUUGGAACAGGUUUUCAAAAAAUCCUGGUGCAUUCUGGUGAAAGGCUGCGAUACAUUGACAUUGGGGAUGGUAUUUUCAAAGACGUGUCCCUGGUCUUCAACGUUGUCAGACAAGCUUGGUGUUACGAUGUUCCAUACCCACCUAGGACAGACUUGUUUCGUAGGCUACAGAGAGUUGGGACUGCAUUGGAGGUCAAGGAGCACGAAGGGCUGA